UACGAAGGGGGCUAGCGUUGCUCGGAAUCACUGGGCGUAAAGCGCACGUAGGCGGAUCUUUUAAAGUCAGGGGGUGAAAUCCCGAGGCUCAACCUCGGAACUGCCCUUGAUACUGGGGAUCUCGAGUCCGGAAGAGGUUGGUGGAACUCCGAGUGUAGAGGUGAAAUUCGUAGAUAUCGCAGGAACACCAGUGGCGAAGGCGGCUUACUGGUCCUAACU
Molecule: ribosomal RNA, 219 nt
Filed under: uncultured bacterium
Lineage: Bacteria
Description: partial 16S ribosomal RNA
Rfam family: Bacterial small subunit ribosomal RNA
Source: RNAcentral